CUUGAGUUUGAUCAUGGCUCAGAUUGAACGCUGGCGGCAGGCUUAACACAUGCAAGUCGAGCGGUAACAGGGGGAGCUUGCUCCCUGCUGACGAGCGGCGGACGGGUGAGUAAUGCAUAGGAAUCUGCCCGGUAGUUGGGGAUAGCCCGGGGAAACCCGGAUUAAUACCGAAUACGCCCUACGGGGGAAAGCAGGGGAUCUUCGGACCUUGCGCUAUCGGAUGAGCCUAUGUCGGAUUAGCUGGUUGGUGGGGUAACGGCCUACCAAGGCGACGAUCCGUAGCUGGUCUGAGAGGAUGAUCAGCCACAUCGGGACUGAGACACGGCCCGAACUCCUACGGGAGGCAGCAGUGGGGAAUAUUGGACAAUGGGGGCAACCCUGAUCCAGCCAUGCCGCGUGUGUGAAGAAGGCUUUCGGGUUGUAAAGCACUUUCAGUGAGGAGGAAAACCUGAUGGUUAAUAUCCAUGAGGCUUGACGUUACUCACAGAAGAAGCACCGGCUAACUCCGUGCCAGCAGCCGCGGUA
RNAcentral lists this ribosomal RNA (525 nucleotides) under uncultured bacterium. RNAcentral's name for it is "bacterial SSU rRNA". It matches the Rfam family "Bacterial small subunit ribosomal RNA", at positions 1 to 522 of the family's 1533-position model. The record is from RNAcentral.